This 246-nucleotide ribosomal RNA is filed under the name uncultured bacterium. Its description in RNAcentral is "partial 16S ribosomal RNA". It matches the Rfam family "Bacterial small subunit ribosomal RNA", at positions 118 to 347 of the family's 1533-position model. The record is from RNAcentral.
UGGGUAACCUGCCUCAAAGAGGGGAAUAGCCUCCCGAAAGGGAGAUUAAUACCGCAUAAUAUGUUUAAGUCGCAUGACUUUAACAUCAAAGGAUUUUCUUUUAGAACUUCCACUUUGAGAUGGACCCGCGGCGCAUUAGCUAGUUGGUGAGGUAACGGCUCACCAAGGCAACGAUGCGUAGCCGACCUGAGAGGGUGAUCGGCCACAUUGGAACUGAGACACGGUCCAGACUCCGUACGGGAGCAG